Molecule: unclassified non-coding RNA, 275 nt
Filed under: Hevea brasiliensis (rubber tree)
Lineage: Eukaryota; Viridiplantae; Streptophyta; Magnoliopsida; Malpighiales; Euphorbiaceae
Source: RNAcentral
GCAUCUUCCAUUGUUCGUUGUUCUUGUUCUUCUUCCCACGAUGGGUAAAGAAAGGGAAAAAGAAAGAGUAGACAAGAAGAUGUUUGUUGGAGUUGUAAUGAACUGUGCUGCGGAGCUUAAGCUUUUUUUUAACAGCUCUUUUAAUUCUCUGCUGUAUAGCUACUCUUCUACAGUUUAUUCCUUCUCGUUUCUCUAUCUCCACUCUCCAGAAUCCCCACCACUACUACCACCACCACCACAACCACCACCUCCUCCAUUGGUCACCCAGAAACGCC